AACGAACGCUGGCGGCAUGCCUAACACAUGCCAGUCGAACGAGACCUUCGGGUCUAGUGGCGCACGGGUGCGUAACGCGUGGUAACCUGCCCUUAGGUUCGGAAUAACUCCCCGAAAGGGGUGCUAAUACCGGAUAAUGUCUUCGGACCAAAGAUUUAUCGCCUUUGGAUGGGCCCGCGUUCGAUUAGCUAGUUGGUAGGGUAAAAGCCUACCAAGGCGACGAUCCAUAGCUGGUCUGCGAGGAUGAUCAGCCACACUGGGACUGAGCCCCGGCCCAGACUCCUCCGGGAGGCAGCAGUGGGGAAUAUUGGACACUGCGAGCAAGCGUGAUCCCGCAAUGCCGCGUGAGUGAUGAAGGCCUUAGGGUUGUAAAGCCCUUUUCCCCGGGAUGAUAAUGACAGUACCGUGAGAAUAAGCACCGGCUAACUCCGUG
RNAcentral lists this ribosomal RNA (433 nucleotides) under uncultured bacterium. Its description in RNAcentral is "partial 16S ribosomal RNA". It matches the Rfam family "Bacterial small subunit ribosomal RNA", at positions 29 to 507 of the family's 1533-position model. The record is from RNAcentral.